This is a long non-coding RNA of Bombus huntii, 1076 nucleotides long. RefSeq lists it as uncharacterized. NCBI's taxonomy places the organism in Eukaryota, Metazoa, Arthropoda, Insecta, Hymenoptera, Apidae. The transcript has 2 exons. The record is from RefSeq and is a predicted model, not a curated record.
GUUGCGUCAUGUCGCGCCGCGUUCAAAAUCAGCGCCAGAUUAAGCGCGAUUGCGGGAAAGGAAGAAGAAAGAUGAAAACGAAAGAAUUAGACUGUGUUCCGUUGGACUACAACAAGUUCUCGUUAAAGAAUCGUCUUGUUAUAUAUAAUAUUGGGCACAAAUUCAUCCGGAUGUGAAAUAAGAAAUAUAACUUUCGUUCAUGAAUAAGUCAACAGUGACUUAAUUAUAUCUGUGAAAUGAUCUUUUAAAUUCCAAGAGAUGUUACAUAUGGUAUUAAAAAAUUAAUAAAUAAUAAAAUUUUUUCAGAAUUAUAGGUUAAUUGAGUAACAUAUUAUAGAGGAUAAUAAAUGAGACACUUCUUGUUCAAUAAAUAUAUGUCCUAUUUUGCUCUGUUUUUCUAGUAAUGGAGCUUCAACGAUAAAGGAGUUAAACGCCUAACAUCAGGCAGUCCGCUAUACAAUUUUCUGAGGCGCGAUGUUCGAAGUAUACAUUUUCCCUUUCCCUUUAAGGUACAAUUAGAUAGAUGUUUAUUGGGUAAAAAUGUUCAUCUUUAAACUAUCUAUUAUUUCCAAAUUUUCAAACCAUUGAUUAUAUUUAUAAUUCAUUAACAUUGUGAAAUUCUUGUAAUUGUUUUUAUUAUUAUUUUAAAUUAAUCAAAUUGUGCUCAAGUUUGUUACAUAACAUAAGUUUAAUGCUCUUUAUAAUUUUUUGAAAUUCUCUACAAUAAUUAUGUAUUCGUUCAAGGAUUUUUCUUCAGUUCUGGUUAUUAUAGAUGACACAAUCGGAAGUAUUGGAAAUGGAAUUUUCAAUUCCAUUGUACGAGAAACUUGAUGGAAUUCACCUUUAAUUGACUGCCCAGGAUAUGAAAGAUUAUUCUAGUUAUAUUUAUCUCAUUUUCUUACAAACAAAGGAAUUCUCUAUCUGCUAUUAUUCUGAUGAGUCAAAUGAUUGAGCAAUCCGGCAUAUAUAUGUAUAUGCUAUUACAAUAAUUUUUGGAAAAUGGCUUAAUUUUUCAAAAUCAGUUAUUACUAUGUUUAUUAGUGUAUUCAUUAUAUUAUAAUGACCUCAUAUUAACA